GAUGAACGCUGGCGGCGUGCCUAAUACAUGCAAGUCGAGCGAACAGACGAGGAGCUUGCUCCUCUGACGUUAGCGGCGGACGGGUGAGUAACACGUGGAUAACCUACCUAUAAGACUGGGAUAACUUCGGGAAACCGGAGCUAAUACCGGAUAACAUAUUGAACCGCAUGGUUCAACAGUGAAAGACGGUCUUGCUGUCGCUUAUAGAUGGAUCCGCGCCGCAUUAGCUAGUUGGUAAGGUAACGGCUUACCAAGGCAACGAUGCGUAGCCGACCUGAGAGGGUGAUCGGCCACACUGGAACUGAGACACGGUCCAGACUCCUACGGGAGGCAGCAGUAGGGAAUCUUCCGCAAUGGGCGAAAGCCUGACGGAGCAACGCCGCGUGAGUGAAGAAGGUCUUCGGAUCGUAAAACUCUGUUAUUAGGGAAGAACAAAUGUGUAAGUAACUAUGCACGUCUUGACGGUACCUAAUCAGAAAGCCACGGCUAACUACGUG
This 497-nucleotide ribosomal RNA is filed under the name uncultured bacterium. RNAcentral describes it as "partial 16S ribosomal RNA". It matches the Rfam family "Bacterial small subunit ribosomal RNA", at positions 28 to 507 of the family's 1533-position model. The record is from RNAcentral.